Molecule: ribosomal RNA, 492 nt
Filed under: uncultured bacterium
Lineage: Bacteria
Description: partial 16S ribosomal RNA
Rfam family: Bacterial small subunit ribosomal RNA
Source: RNAcentral
AGUGAACGCUGGCGGUAGGCCUAACACAUGCAGGUCGAACGGCAGCACAGUAAGAGCUUGCUCUUACGGGUGGCGAGUGGCGGGCGGGUGAGGAAUACAUCGGAAUCUACUUUUUCGUGGGGGAUAACGUAGGGAAACUUACGCUAAUACCGCAUACGACCUACGGGUGAAAGCAGGGGAUCUUCGGACCUUGCGCGAUUGAAUGAGCCGAUGUCGGAUUAGCUAGUUGGCGGGGUAAAGGCCCACCAAGGCGACGAUCCGUAGCUGGUCUGAGAGGAUGAUCAGCCACACUGGAACUGAGACACGGUCCAGACUCCUACGGGAGGCAGCAGUGGGGAAUAUUGGACAAUGGGCGCAAGCCUGAUCCAGCCAUACCGCGUGGGUGAAGAAGGCCUUCGGGUUGUAAAGCCCUUUUGUUGGGAAAGAAAAGCAGCAGGUUAAUACCCCGCUGUUCUGACGGUACCCAAAGAAUAAGCACCGGCUAACUUCGUG